GCUGAAGCACUCUGCACUGCAUUGUGUUUACUAUUCAAGGUUCUCAGCAGCCAGCAGCCAUGCUCUUCCAUCACAACGAUUUGGUGUCAUAAUAGGCCCUGUAGACUGCCACUACAACUGGAGUAAGGGAACGGAGCUUAGAGGAGAUUGGAAGGAAGGCGGUUUAUAGAAUUGAAGGUCGCCCAGAGAAGUGAUCCCCGCCCGCCCUCUCUUCACUUGUUGACGGGGUUGUAAGCAGGCCGCAGGAGAGGCCGAUCUUGUACCAGCUCAGUCUGCCAGUGUAUGGCAGUUGGUCCCGGUGCGCUCAGCGACUACGAGAGGAAGAUGAAUUCUCAGGAAAAGUGCAACAACUUCAUGCGUCAGUUCCGGGACGAUGAGUCUCGGGAACUGAAGAAGCUGACUGCCAACCAGUUCAUGUGUGUGUG
Eriocheir sinensis (Chinese mitten crab) is the source of this 425-nucleotide long non-coding RNA. RefSeq lists it as uncharacterized. The record is from RefSeq and is a predicted model, not a curated record. Lineage: Eukaryota; Metazoa; Arthropoda; Malacostraca; Decapoda; Varunidae. The transcript has 4 exons.